CAGUCAAAAUGUGCCCAUUGGUAUAAAAGUGGCAUGGAAGCUAUGGUGGUAACAACUGGUGUAAGACAGCUUGGCAUCAUAUCCAUAUAGCAAAACAACAAUAGGUCAGGGCCUAUGACCUCUCCACCCAAGAGCUUUUGAAUUCCCUUCCGGAGGGAAGUCCUCAAAUACAAUCAGAAGUCUUACAAAUAUUUAUGUUUAUACUCAUAGAUUAGUGCUGCUGUCAAGAUCAGUGCUAGCCAAAGAAGCUUCUGUGUGAUGUUUAAUACAAAAAUUCACCCCAUCGGAGGCCUGGAGAACGUCAUAAAAGAAGAGAAGAGAAAAUACAAGCAUUGGAGGAGGGGAAGCAGUGUUGUGAGUGCUGUGUUCUGGACCUGAUACAGCUGGAGGCGUCUCGCUGGGGAGACAGGAGCACAGGAUCCUGCAAGAGUUGGGGUUGGCCGCCCGGGUCCCGCCACCUAGAGAGCAGAGAAACCAUGAAUCCCGCAGCACCCAACGCAGGGUGGGAAGUAGGAACGAGGCAUCUACCCGGGGAAGACCUGGCGCCUCCUACACUUGUCCCGACGUUCACCUCGUCUGCUCCCGGGCCCUCUUGUGGUUUCAAGAGGUCUCCAGAGGUCAGUUGUCGCGGAGUCAAAACGGCUUGACCUCACGCGCCGCCCUCUCAGCUGACCAGACGGUGCCAGGGAGAAAGAUGGCGGGUGAGGCAUAUCCGCUUGCUGCCGGCGUUCCUGAUUGGACAGCUGGCCGCAAGGACACUUACCAUAUCUGAGCCCAAGGCUUCCCGAGGCCGGUAGGAAUGAUCCUGGUGUUGGCAGCCACACAGCACGGAUCCUGAACGGCUGCCUGUGACUCCCUCAGCUGACAGGACAGCAUCACCACGAUAGUCUGGCAAGUAAAAGAGAUGGCCGGUGAGGAACUUCCGCUCCACCAAUCGGCGCUUCUGAUUGGAUAGCUCGUGCUGCGCUCAGAGACAGGGGCCUAGCAAAACUAUCCUCUGAGAGACCCCACCCAGCAGCCAACGGAAAGAGAUACUGAGCUCCACACCCAAACAUCGGUUGGAGCUUAGGGAGUCUUAUGGAAGAGUCGGGGGAAGAAUUGAGGAACCCGAAGAGGACAGGGACUCCACACGAAGACCAACAAAGUCAACUAAACUAGAUAUUUGGGGGAGGAGGGUCCCAGCAUCUGAAUCACCAACCAAUGAGCAAGCAUGGACUGGAACUAGGCUCUCUGCACUUAGGUAGCAGAUGUGCAGCUUGGCUGUUGUGCACAUCCCCAACCACAGGAACAGAGACUGUCCCUAAACCUAUUGCAUGCCUAUCUGCCAUGGAUCAUGGUCCCCUAACUGGGUGCCUUGUCUGGCCUCAGUGGGAGUGGAUACACCUAGUACUGCAGUAAAUUGAUGUUGUCCUGGUGGGUGGAGUAGGCUGAAGGGAGUGAGGGUGGGAAGGUGGUGUGAGGGUGGAGGGUGGAAUGAGAGAAGGAUCGGAAUGAGGGGAUACUGGGUGGAGAGGGGCUGAUAUUGAGAAGUAAAGUGAAUAAAUACAUUAAUAAAAAAUAUUUAAAACUGAA
Long non-coding RNA from Mastomys coucha (southern multimammate mouse), 1572 nucleotides. RefSeq lists it as uncharacterized. The record is from RefSeq and is a predicted model, not a curated record. The transcript is spliced from 3 exons. NCBI's taxonomy places the organism in Eukaryota, Metazoa, Chordata, Mammalia, Rodentia, Muridae.